Molecule: small nuclear RNA, 191 nt
Filed under: Echeneis naucrates (live sharksucker)
Lineage: Eukaryota; Metazoa; Chordata; Actinopteri; Carangiformes; Echeneidae
Description: U2 spliceosomal RNA (ENSENLG00000000664.1)
Rfam family: U2 spliceosomal RNA
About the family: U2 is a small nuclear RNA (snRNA) component of the spliceosome (involved in pre-mRNA splicing). Complementary binding between U2 snRNA (in an area lying towards the 5' end but 3' to hairpin I) and the branchpoint sequence (BPS) of the intron results the bulging out of an unpaired adenosine, on the BPS, which initiates a nucleophilic attack at the intronic 5' splice site, thus starting the first of two transesterification reactions that mediate splicing.
Source: Rfam by way of RNAcentral
AUCGCUUCUCGGCCUUUUGGCUAAGAUCAAGUGUAGUAUCUGUUCUUAUCAGUUUAAUAUCUGAUACGUCCCCUACCCGGGGACCAUAUAUUAAAUAGAUUUUUGGAACAGGGAGAUGGAAUAGGGGCUUGCUCCGUCCACUCCACGCAUCGACCUGGUGUUGCAGUAUCUCCAGGAACGGUGCACUCCCU